GAUUUAACUGGGUUGGCAUAGCCAACAGAUAGACAAUCAUAAAACAAAACAUGGCAUGACAACUCAUUCAAAUAAUCAUGUUUUCACAUAAAACACGCUUUAAAAGAAGGAAGAGAAGGCCCACCUUAAUUGCUUAAAUUCUUGCAAAACGGUGCUUUCCUGUCCUGAGAUUACUCGUCGAGCGACGACUUUCCUUUACAAAAUUUAAUAUACUUAAAUUAGGCUUAAAAAAAAUAUAAUUGUUUAUCUUGCAUGUAUGCAUGCCUAAGCGUGUGCUUAUUAUUUUACUUCCUUCUUUCUAUAUUUAGAAGUCUUAAAUCUUUAAUUAAAUCAAUGAUUUCAUUAUUCGGAAACUAUUUUAACACGGCUAAAAAAAUUCUCUCUUCCUUUUUUUUUCUUCCGCGGCUUGAGAAUUAAAUCCCGUUAUACCUUGGAACUAAUUUUAGAGUAUUGCUCCAACUAAAACCAAGCCCAUCUAUGAAAACGUAUUUGAUUUAUUGGGCAAAAGUCGGCCCAGACCAUUUUACAUCCUCAGGCCAAUUUCCCUUCCCCUUCUGUAUUAUUUUUAAGUUGAGGCCCAAAAUUCAGUGGCCCAAAAGCAGUGAGACCACCCCUAGGAUCGGUCCCCCCCCUUCAUUUCCCAUUCUCACAAUUUCUUCCCCAAAUUAAGGGAACCAAAUCCCUAAUCGGACUCUGCUGUUCCGCUCAAUUAGCCGGAGGAUCGCCGACGGGGUCUCUCGGCUCUCUCUCUUUUCUGGCGAAAACGGCGGCGUCUCGCCCGUCGGGCUGAUGCACCGCCUCUGAACCUUCGUUGUGGUGUCGCGACGGUGCUCCUCCGUCUCGGUAGAUCCCCAAAUUGUAGGGGUGAAAACCCUAGGCUCAAACCCCCUAUCUGCCCCCUUCUUCUCGGCAACCCGCCGUCACAGGGUCGCCGGAAUCGGCCCGCUUCACCUCAUGGCAGCAUCUCGCUGCCCGCUCGGCGGUCUCUUGCCGUGGGGACAGAGGAGGCAUCGCCUCCUUCCACCGUCACAGCUCAACGCCGUCGCUGCCGGUCUUCCUCAGCGAGAGCCACCGCGUGUCACAACCACCUCGCGGUCAACUUCCGGCUCUGUCAUUAAACGACCUUGCGAAAGCUAAGUUCCCUUUCGUUUAUUCGUUUGGUUUCUUUAUGUGAUUUUAAAGUUGUAAGCUCAGUAGGAUAUCUUUGAUUAUUUGAGUCCGGUUGGAGGACUUCUACUAUAUCCUCGUUUCUCAGUUAUGGCAUAGCGUGCUCUCGUCAUGAUGCUAUCGAUUUUACUUGUUCUCCUAUAUCAUUUUCAUGCUUAUGUUUUCUGAAACUAUGGGAUUCUCCUAGCAUGCUUGUGAUGUCAGUUAAAUGCGAGAUUUCUACUACAUGAUGGUGUGAUUUGGUUAACUGAGUUUGGAGGGGAUUGAGGUUACCUUUCUUGAACCUCUCUGCGUCCGACUUCUAGCCUCUGUCUCUAUCACUGAUUUGCAAUGGUUUCUGCCUCUAACUCGUCCCAUCUCUCACUCCCUUAGCUCACUACCUUGUAUUAGAUUUGUGGUGGUCAAGGGGUAUGGCUGAGGUUGUCUGUAUUUAUAGAGAAUAUGCAACUGAAAGCUGUAAAAGCUUGUUGGCUGGAAAAAGGGACCCUAGGCUGUGCAGCUGGCUGCUCUCUCUACAGCUCUGCAGAGCAUGUACCCUGGUCCUUUGGCCCCUUUUCUAACUUAAUUUGGUGGUAUAUGGGGGUGUACUCGUGAGUUAUGGUGGCUGCCACAGAGCUCCAGUCUCUGGCUGUUCUUUAUGCUGCCAUUUUAACUGAUUUUUGGCUUUUGUGAACAUCUACUACUUAGCCUCAUUCAUGGCGUUUGUCUCUUGUGACAGGUGCACUAGAAUGGCUGAUAUUUGCUAUGGAUAUUCUCGACAAUGGCAGGCGAAACCGGUGGUACAAGCUGGCUUUUUUCAGCCUUUCAUAGUCCCUGCUGGGCUAGGUGUUGGCAGCAUCGCGCGGUUAGUCGUGGAGGUUGAUUCCCUCGUGGUCUCGCCCUUUUGGGCUUUCUGGAAUCGGGGCCGAGACGGCUCACGCUGAAGGCCGAGGAAGUUCUCUAGGACUCUUGAUUGUAAUAGAGUAGCCCGAUUUAAGUUUCUCUUUUUCUUUUCUCUAACAUGUAUGUAGAGUCUAUUGAAAUUAAAAGUGUUUCUGCUUCCUUUGUCAUUUGUAAGCUUAGACUUUAGCUCGGAAUAAUAAAAUGUUGUGUUGCUCAAGAAAUAAAUAAAUAUUCUUUCUUUCUCUUUA
Molecule: long non-coding RNA, 2297 nt
Organism: Salvia splendens (bonfire salvia)
Lineage: Eukaryota; Viridiplantae; Streptophyta; Magnoliopsida; Lamiales; Lamiaceae
Exons: 2
Source: RefSeq, a predicted model, not a curated record